UCACCGCUUACGCGGGCAGUCUCGCAUGAGUCCCCAACUAAAUGCUGGCAACAUGCGACGGGGGUUGCGCUCGUUGCGGGACUUAACCCAACAUCUCACGACACGAGCUGACGACAGCCAUGCAGCACCUGUGUUGCGGUUCCCUUUCGGGCACCGAGACAUCUCUGUCCCGUUCCGCACAUGUCAAGGGUAGGUAAGGUUUUUCGCGUUGCAUCGAAUUAAUCCACAUAAUCCACCGCUUGUGCGGGUCCCCGUCAAUUCCUUUGAGUUUUAGCCUUGCGGCCGUACUCCCCAGGCGGUCAACUUCACGCGUUAGCUUCGUUACCAAGGAAUUACUUCCCCGACAACCAGUUGACAUCGUUUAGGGCGUGGACUAC
This 377-nucleotide unclassified non-coding RNA is filed under the name uncultured Gammaproteobacteria bacterium. RNAcentral describes it as "contains 16S-23S intergenic spacer region". Lineage: Bacteria; Pseudomonadati; Pseudomonadota; Gammaproteobacteria. The record is from RNAcentral.